RNAcentral lists this ribosomal RNA (317 nucleotides) under uncultured Treponema sp. Its description in RNAcentral is "partial 16S ribosomal RNA". The record is from RNAcentral. Lineage: Bacteria; Pseudomonadati; Spirochaetota; Spirochaetia; Treponematales; Treponemataceae.
GGAGUCUGGGCCGUAUCUCAGUCCCAAUGCGCCCGUCCGACCUCUCAGUCCGGGUACCCGUCAUAGCUUAGGUGGUCCGUUACACCGCCUACAGGCUGAUGGGACGCGGGCCGCUCCCCCGGCGGGGCCGAAGCCCCUUUCCUCCCCCUCCUCCAGCAAGGGGGACCUCAUCCGGUAUCACCCGGCAUUUCUGCCGGCUGUCCCCGUCCGGGGGGUGCGUCACCCACGCGCUCCUCGCCAGUCCGCCGCUCUCACGUGGUGCAAGCACCACGAUCCCGCCCGACUUGCAUGCUUAAGACGCGCCGCCAGCGUUCGUU